Molecule: ribosomal RNA, 380 nt
Filed under: uncultured bacterium
Lineage: Bacteria
Description: partial 16S ribosomal RNA
Rfam family: Bacterial small subunit ribosomal RNA
Source: RNAcentral
CCUACGGGAGGCAGCAGUGGGGAAUAUUGGGCAAUGGGCGCAAGCCUGACCCAGCAACGCCGCGUGAAGGAAGAAGGCUUUCGGGUUGUAAACUUCUUUUCUCAGGGACGAAGCAAGUGACGGUCCCUGAGGAAUAAGCCACGGCUAACUACGUGCCAGCAGCCGCGGGAAUACGUAGGUGGCAAGCGUUAUCCGGAUUUGCUGGGUGUAAAGGGCGUGUAGGCGGGACUGCAAGUCAGAUGUGAAAACCACGGGCUUCACCUGUGGCGUGCAUUUGAAACUGUAGUUCUUGAGUACUGGAGAGGCAGGCGGAAUGCGUAGUGUAGCGGUGAAAUGCGUAGAUAUUACGAGGAACACCAGUUGCGAAGGCGGCAUGCUGG